This is a long non-coding RNA of Xiphophorus couchianus (Monterrey platyfish), 896 nucleotides long. RefSeq lists it as uncharacterized. The transcript has 3 exons. The record is from RefSeq and is a predicted model, not a curated record. Lineage: Eukaryota; Metazoa; Chordata; Actinopteri; Cyprinodontiformes; Poeciliidae.
UAUGGGACCAGAUGCAAGAUUCAGAGAAAGAAAUUUGAAAGAAAGUAAAGAUCUCAGUUCUGGAUGGAUCUCAUGAACGAUUUGAAGGAAAGACAUCUCUUCAAUGGAAGUCAUGACCACACAUGCCUUGUGCGGUUUGUCUUCAUGGAUAUGCUACAGAGAGAUCUUGAUGAAUGCAAGGACAGGUGGAAUAAACAUACCAUAAGACCUGUUAAACAAUCUUGCUGUCCAUCUGGUAAACCAAAUGUGAUGUAUCAUCUACCUCACAGGUUUGGUGGAACAGACUGUGGUUUCCCAGUCUCCCAGGAGCAAUUGGGACAGUUUGUGACAGAGACUAACAACAUUCAAUGUGGAGAUGAACACCUUGAGGCACAUUUUGAGAACCUGCAGAGACAGUGUGGCCUAGCACAUCCACAGAGUUGGGAAUCAUGUGUCGAAAACUAUAUCAAACUGAAAAACAUGGCGGACUUAUAAACAAACAAGAAUCCAAAUUUGAAGGUCGCACACAAACACUAAACAGUGUCAUAACUGAACAGGUUUGACAAGUUAAAUAGUUAGCAUUUUGUUUUGUUGUUAUGCAUUUGACCUUAAUAAAGCCCAAAUCCAGGGGAGUUUUGAAUCCCAAAGUCCAUGUUUUCUUUAAACUGAUGAUACGUCUUGGACAUUGGUAUUUUGAUAGUGUUGGAGCAGGUGCUACUGACAGGAAAACGAGAAGUGGCCUGAAAGAUCAGUUUUGGUGGUGGCAGAAUUGAAGAUGGAGGUAGUGUGUUCAAGCCGGUGGCAAACAUCAGGAUGUCCUGGAGAGAGAGACCCGUUUUUUGUUCUAGAAAAGAAGCAAUGAGUUUAUGUAUCAGAUAUUACAAUAACACCAGAAUAUAGCAAUAAAUCUUAAAGUC